GACGAACGCUGGCGGCGUGCUUAACACAUGCAAGUCGAACGAAGAGCGAUGGAUGCUUGCUUCUAUCAAUCUUAGUGGCGAACGGGUGAGUAACGCGUAAUCAACCUGCCCUUCAGAGGGGGACAACAGUUGGAAACGACUGCUAAUACCGCAUACGAUCUAAUCUCGGCAUCGAGGAUGGAUGAAAGGUGGCCUCUAUUUAUAAGCUAUCACUGAAGGAGGGGAUUGCGUCUGAUUAGCUAGUUGGAGGGGUAACGGCCCACCAAGGCGAUGAUCAGUAGCCGGUCUGAGAGGAUGAACGGCCACAUUGGGACUGAGACACGGCCCAGACUCCUACGGGAGGCAGCAGUGGGGAAUCUUCCGCAAUGGACGAAAGUCUGACGGAGCAACGCCGCGUGAGUGAUGACGGCCUUCGGGUUGUAAAGCUCUGUUAAUCGGGACGAAAGGCCUUCUUGCGAAUAGUUAGAAGGAUUGACGGUACCGGAAUAGAAAGCCACGGCUAACUACGUGCCAGCAGCCGCGGUAAUGCGUAGGUGGCAAGCGUUGUCCGGAAUUAUUGGGCGUAAAGCGCGCGCAGGCGGAUUGGUCAGUCUGUCUUAAAAGUUCGGGGCUUAACCCCGUGAUGGGAUGGAAACUGCCAAUCUAGAGUAUCGGAGAGGAAAGUGGAAUUCCUAGUGUAGC
Molecule: ribosomal RNA, 681 nt
Filed under: uncultured organism
Description: SSU rRNA
Rfam family: Bacterial small subunit ribosomal RNA
Source: RNAcentral